RNAcentral lists this ribosomal RNA (165 nucleotides) under uncultured bacterium. RNAcentral's name for it is "partial 16S rRNA". It matches the Rfam family "Bacterial small subunit ribosomal RNA", at positions 355 to 511 of the family's 1533-position model. The record is from RNAcentral.
UAGGGAAGUCUUCCACAAUGGACGCAAGUCUGAUGGAGCAACGCCGCGUGAGUGAAGAAGGUCUUCGGAUCGUAAAACUCUGUUGUUAGAGAAGAACGCGAGUGAGAGUAACUGUUCAUUCGAUGACGGUAUCUAACCAGCAAGUCACGGCUAACUACGUACCAG